Myxocyprinus asiaticus (Chinese sucker) is the source of this 1806-nucleotide non-coding RNA. NCBI's taxonomy places the organism in Eukaryota, Metazoa, Chordata, Actinopteri, Cypriniformes, Catostomidae. The record is from the annotation of a RefSeq genome assembly.
AAUAUGAAUUAGUGAUCAUUUUGUCAUCAAAUGAUCCAUCGUUUGGCGUUCAGUACGAACAUCAGUGUUUUUGUACAGCUGGUAUCAAGCGAUGUAACGUUGUGAUUGCUUCGACUACUGGGGUAAAGGCACACAAGUCACAGUCUCAAACACACAGCCAUCGGCACCAACUUCUCUGAUCGCCCUGUCUCAGUGCGGAACUGGUUCUGAUGGACUCCAGACCAUUGGCUGUUUGGCCUCUGGGUUUUUUCCAGCCGAAUCGCUAAAUUUCAAAUGGACUGAUGGAAAUGGAAAUGCCCUGACUGACUUCGUCCAGUACCCAGCCACGAGUCAAUCAUCAUCGGCUUUGAAAAUUAGUCACAUAACUGUUAGUCAAGAACAAUGGAAACAACGAGAGAAAAUAAUGUGUAAGGCGGAGAAUCCAAAGGGUCAUUUGAGUAAAGAAUUUGAAAAGCCAGUGGACCAACAGCCACCAGUAUUGAGUCUGGUUCCAGUAAUAACUAAGAAAAGUUCCUUUGUCAUGUGUGUGGUUGAGGACUUCUUCCCCAAAGACCUCACUGUUCAAUGGAAAUUAAAUGAUAAAACUGAGACAAGUGAGACUUUCCAGCAGAACAUACCAGACAAGAACAAUGGUCUUUACACAACAAGGAGUUAUAUUAAGCUCAGAAGUGAUACAAAUACUGUCUACACCUGUCAGGUCACACACCAGGGAAAAACAAUUCUGGAGAAGAAAAACUUUAAUGCUAGCUUCACACUGACUCUGAAGCCACCAGUGCAGAGAGAAAUAUUUGUCAACAAUAAAAUUAUAUUGGAGGCUGUUGUUUCUGGAAGUGUAAUCAAAGCAGUAGAAGAUGCUUCGGUGUCGUGCCUAGUGGAUAAUCAACAAAUCAGUGGGAUACCAGGAAAUGCACAUUUUUCAAAGGAAACUUCUCAGCAUAUGAGAAUCUACAAUGUCACAGUUGAUCACAAGAAAUGGUUUGAGGGUAAAAAGGUCAUCUGUUCCACCCGUGACACAAAUGGAAAAGAAAUCAGGGAGGAGAUCCAAUUUAACAAAGGAGAUGGAAAGAAGCCCAAUGUUGUUAUUUACAGACCUGACAAUGAUAAACCUGGUCACGUCUCUCUGGUGUGUGAGGUUACCAGCGCACAGCUUGGUGAUGUUUAUAUCAUGUGGACAGUGGGCGCUGAAAAAAAAUACAUAGAGGCCCCUACCAGUGGUCCAAUUCGUCAAGAGACCUUCACAUCUGUCCUCAGCUUUUUAACAGUGACUCCAGAACAAUACAAAAAUUCUGAAAUCUCCUGUGCAGUCCAACAUGCCAACAUCAACAAUACAAUCUCACCAUUAAUAAUAUCAACAAGCAAAAGUGAGCCACCAGAGCCAGAGACAGGCUUUGCUUUGCUCUGCAAUAAAAAUGUUUUGGAGGAGGAUGAGUUCAGAAGUCUCUGGUACACUGCCACCUCAUUCAUCUUUCUGUUCCUCUUUACUCUGACCUACAGCGCUCUGCUAAGCUUCUUCAAGAUGAAGCAGUGAAGACUCAUGGGUCAUUCAUUUGUCUUGUGACUGUCAUUGUAUUUUCUUUUGAUCUUAUCUAUUUUGAAAUAACAAAAAAAGAAAAGAAGCAAUUCUUUCUUGCUUUGUCUGUGACUUGGACAAAGUAUUUUUUUAUGUAGGCUAAUUGAUAUUGUUAAAACUGUAUAAUUUGCCUCUGUGCAUAAAUUUUUGCCUGUGUGCAUACAUUUUUGAAAAUAUUGAUAAAGAUGUGUUCAGUGUCAUACACUCAUCAGUAAAGUAUUAUGUUGUUUACUCUG